Molecule: ribosomal RNA, 467 nt
Filed under: uncultured bacterium
Lineage: Bacteria
Description: bacterial SSU rRNA
Rfam family: Bacterial small subunit ribosomal RNA
Source: RNAcentral
GACGAACGCUGGCGGCGUGCCUAAUACAUGCAAGUCGAGCGGACAGAUGGGAGCUUGCUCCCUGAUGUUAGCGGCGGACGGGUGAGUAACACGUGGGUAACCUGCCUGUAAGACUGGGAUAACUCCGGGAAACCGGGGCUAAUACCGGAUGGUUGUUUGAACCGCAUGGUUCAAACAUAAAAGGUGGCUUUGGCUACCACUUACAGAUGGACCCGCGGCGCAUUAGCUAGUUGGUGAGGUAACGGCUCACCAAGGCAACGAUGCGUAGCCGACCUGAGAGGGUGAUCGGCCACACUGGGACUGAGACACGGCCCAGACUCCUACGGGAGGCAGCAGUAGGGAAUCUUCCGCAAUGGACGAAAGUCUGACGGAGCAACGCCGCGUGAGUGAUGAAGGUUUUCGGAUCGUAAAGCUCUGUUGUUAGGGAAGAACAAGUACCGUUCGAAUAGGGCGGUACCUUGACGGUA